ACGAACGCUGGCGGCAGGCCUAACACAUGCAAGUCGAACGCCCCGCAAGGGGAGUGGCAGACGGGUGAGUAACGCGUGGGAAUCUGCCCAAUGGUACGGAACAACCAAGGGAAACUUUGGCUAAUACCGUAUGUGCCCGUAAGGGGAAAGAUUUAUCGCCAUUGGAUGAGCCCGCGUUGGAUUAGCUAGUUGGUGGGGUAACGGCCUACCAAGGCGACGAUCCAUAGCUGGUCUGAGAGGAUGAUCAGCCACACUGGGACUGAGACACGGCCCAGACUCCUACGGGAGGCAGCAGUGGGGAAUAUUGGACAAUGGGCGCAAGCCUGAUCCAGCCAUGCCGCGUGAGUGAUGAAGGCCUUAGGGUUGUAAAGCUCUUUCAGCGGGGAAGAUAAUGACGGUACCCGCAGAAGAAGCCCCGGCUAACUUCGU
This 429-nucleotide ribosomal RNA is filed under the name uncultured bacterium. RNAcentral describes it as "bacterial SSU rRNA". It matches the Rfam family "Bacterial small subunit ribosomal RNA", at positions 29 to 506 of the family's 1533-position model. The record is from RNAcentral.